Molecule: ribosomal RNA, 877 nt
Filed under: uncultured Staphylococcus sp.
Lineage: Bacteria; Bacillati; Bacillota; Bacilli; Caryophanales; Staphylococcaceae
Description: bacterial SSU rRNA
Rfam family: Bacterial small subunit ribosomal RNA
Source: RNAcentral
GAUGAACGCUGCGGGCGUGCCUCAUACAUGCAAGUCGAGCGAACGGACGAGAAGCUUGCUUCUCUGAUGUUAGCGGCGGACGGGUGAGUAACACGUGGAUAACCUACCUAUAAGACUGGGAUAACUUCGGGAAACCGGAGCUAAUACCGGAUAAUAUUUUGAACCGCAUGAUUCAAAAGUGAAAGACGGUCUUGCUGUCACUUAUAGAUGGAUCCGCGCUGCAUUAGCUAGUUGGUAAGGUAACGGCUUACCAAGGCAACGAUGCAUAGCCGACCUGAGAGGGUGAUCGGCCACACUGGAACUGAGACACGGUCCAGACUCCUACGGGAGGCAGCAGUAGGGAAUCUUCCGCAAUGGGCGAAAGCCUGACGGAGCAACGCCGCGUGAGUGAUGAAGGUCUUCGGAUCGUAAAACUCUGUUAUUAGGGAAGAACAUAUGUGUAAGUAACUGUGCACAUCUUGACGGUACCUAAUCAGAAAGCCACGGCUAACUACGUGCCAGCAGCCGCGGUAAUACGUAGGUGGCAAGCGUUAUCCGGAAUUAUUGGGCGUAAAGCGCGCGUAGGCGGUUUUUUAAGUCUGAUGUGAAAGCCCACGGCUCAACCGUGGAGGGUCAUUGGAAACUGGAAAACUUGAGUGCAGAAGAGGAAAGUGGAAUUCCAUGUGUAGCGGUGAAAUGCGCAGAGAUAUGGAGGAACACCAGUGGCGAAGGCGACUUUCUGGUCUGUAACUGACGCUGAUGUGCGAAAGCGUGGGGAUCAAACAGGAUUAGAUACCCUGGUAGUCCACGCCGUAAACGAUGAGUGCUAAGUGUUAGGGGGUUUCCGCCCCUUAGUGCUGCAGCUAACGCAUUAAGCACUCCGCCUGGGGAGUACGAC